Long non-coding RNA from Sebastes umbrosus (honeycomb rockfish), 109 nucleotides. RefSeq lists it as uncharacterized. The transcript has 3 exons. Lineage: Eukaryota; Metazoa; Chordata; Actinopteri; Perciformes; Sebastidae. The record is from RefSeq and is a predicted model, not a curated record.
UAGGGUAAUAUAGUUUUCACCCAUAACAGGUAAACCUUUAUGGUAGCUACCUUAAGAAACCGAACUCAAACACCCCUUCAUCUUAGUUUAAGCUUUAUAAAAAGAGGAA